CUGAGAGAAAGGGAAGUCACUUCUCCCCAAGUUCAUACAAGAUCUAGCAAUGAAGCCGAAUAUGGCGAGAAGGAAGUAGACAAUGAAGAAGAAGAUGAAGAGGAGGAAGAAGGAGAUGGAGUGUACAUAAUUGAGGAAGUAGGCAGUGAAGCCGAAGGUGGCGAGAAGGAAGUAGAAAAUGAAGAAGAAGAAGAGGAGCAAGAUGGAGAUGGCGUGUACAUAAUUGAGGAAGAAGCAUUGCAGAUAAUAAGAGUGGUUGCUGAUGACCACAAGUCGGAGAGCAUGAAGAGUGCGUGUGA
Molecule: long non-coding RNA, 299 nt
Filed under: Brassica napus (rape)
Lineage: Eukaryota; Viridiplantae; Streptophyta; Magnoliopsida; Brassicales; Brassicaceae
Description: long non-coding RNA (BNAP_LNC016839)
Source: RNAcentral